This is a small nuclear RNA of Nannospalax galili (Upper Galilee mountains blind mole rat), 103 nucleotides long. The record is from Ensembl. Lineage: Eukaryota; Metazoa; Chordata; Mammalia; Rodentia; Spalacidae.
AUCUCCCUUCUGCAGCAUAUUUACUAUAGUUGGAACCAUACAGAGAUUGGCAUGACCCUUGUGCAAGGAUGACAGGCAAAUUCCUGAAGUGUUCCAUAUUUUU